This 253-nucleotide ribosomal RNA is filed under the name uncultured bacterium. RNAcentral's name for it is "partial 16S ribosomal RNA". It matches the Rfam family "Bacterial small subunit ribosomal RNA", at positions 524 to 776 of the family's 1533-position model. The record is from RNAcentral.
UACGAAGGGGGCUAGCGUUGUUCGGAAUUACUGGGCGUAAAGGGCGCGUAGGCGGCCCUGUCAGUCGGGUGUGAAAGCCCGGGGCUCAACCCCGGAACGGCACCCGAGACGGCAGGGCUGGAGACCGGGAGAGGAGGGUGGAAUAGCCAGUGUAGAGGUGAAAUUCGUAGAUAUUGGCUGGAACACCGGUGGCGAAAGCGGCUCACUGGACGGGUACUGACGCUGAGGCACGAAAGCGUGGGGAGCAAACAGG